This is a long non-coding RNA of Magnolia sinica, 553 nucleotides long. RefSeq lists it as uncharacterized. Lineage: Eukaryota; Viridiplantae; Streptophyta; Magnoliopsida; Magnoliales; Magnoliaceae. The transcript is spliced from 3 exons. The record is from RefSeq and is a predicted model, not a curated record.
GUGCUCCUAUCAAUUUUAGAGAAGUUCUUCUCCAAGUUUCUGAACUUGCCUGAUGUAAAUAGGAGGUUGAGGAAGAUCAUCUCCAUCCUCUCAAGCGACCAGCCUCCCUGCCCUCAACUGUAUCUGUACAGCACAGCUGACAAGGUCAUUCCAGCUAGGUCGGCAGAGUCUUUUAUUCAGGAGCAGAAGAAAUCUGGGAGAAAGGUGAAACCGAAUGCAAUGGUUAAGGACAUAGCUUUCUUGGGGGCAUCGCUCUCUGAUCAUCUCAAACCUGACUUCAAUCCUCUUAUCAUGAAGAAACCCCAAACUGAAACUAAUACAAAAUUGGAUUAGUCCCAUCUUGUAGCCAGCAGGCUAGAGCUACCUGUUUGAGGUUGCAGGGGCCUGCUACGCACAAUUCAAAUGGAGAAUGCUGGUAGAGGCAAUGAUGAUGUUGGCCUGGAAGCAGCAGAAGAUGGACGGGCAGUGUUAUCUCAGGGUCUGCCAAGCAUGACAGCACCGGUGAUGACGGGCGCGACCAUGACUUUGUAUUAUUUGUGGAACCUAAUGUUGU